GAAGCUGGAGCUUGCUCCGGCCGAUUAGUGGCGAACGGGUGAGUAACACGUGAGCAAUCUGCCCUUGACUCUGGGAUAACUGCGGGAAACUGUAGCUAAUACCGGAUACUUUCCUCGCUGGGCAUCCAGCGGGGAAGAAAGAAUUUCGGUCAAGGAUGAGCUCGCGGCCUAUCAGCUAGUUGGUGAGGUAAAGGCUCACCAAGGCGACGACGGGUAGCCGGCCUGAGAGGGUGACCGGCCACACUGGAACUGAGACACGGUCCAGACUCCUACGGGAGGCAGCAGUGGGGAAUAUUGCACAAUGGGCGAAAGCCUGAUGCAGCAACGCCGCGUGAGGGAUGAAGGCCUUCGGGUUGUAAACCUCUUUUAGCAGGGAAGAAGCGAAAGUGACGGUACCUGCAGAAAAAGCACCGGCUAACUACGUGCCAGCAGCCGCGGUAAUACGUAGGGUGCAAGCGUUGUCCGGAAUUAUUGGGCGUAAAGAGCUCGUAGGCGGUUUGUCACGUCUGCUGUGAAAAUCCGAGGCUCAACCUCGGACUUGCAGUGGGUACGGGCAGGCUAGAGUGCGGUAGGGGAGAAGGGAAUUCCUGGUGUAGCGGUGGAAUGCGCAGAUAUCAGGAGGAACACCAAUGGCGAAGGCACUUCUCUGGGCCGUAACUGACGCUGAG
RNAcentral lists this ribosomal RNA (668 nucleotides) under uncultured Actinomycetes bacterium. RNAcentral describes it as "bacterial SSU rRNA". It matches the Rfam family "Bacterial small subunit ribosomal RNA", at positions 69 to 750 of the family's 1533-position model. Lineage: Bacteria; Bacillati; Actinomycetota; Actinomycetes. The record is from RNAcentral.